UACGUAGGGGCCAAGCGUUGUCCGGAUUUAUUGGGCGUAAAGAGCUCGUAGGCGGUUCGGCAAGUCGAAUGUGAAAUCUCCACGCUCAACGUGGAGGGGUCAUUCGAUACUGCCGUGACUUGAGUACGGUAGGGGAGUGUGGAAUUCCCGGUGUAGCGGUGAAAUGCGCAGAGAUCGGGAGGAACACCCGUAGCGAAGGCGGCACUCUGGGCCGAUACUGACGCUGAGGAGCGAAAGCGUGGGGAGCAAACAGG
RNAcentral lists this ribosomal RNA (254 nucleotides) under uncultured bacterium. Its description in RNAcentral is "partial 16S ribosomal RNA". It matches the Rfam family "Bacterial small subunit ribosomal RNA", at positions 524 to 776 of the family's 1533-position model. The record is from RNAcentral.